GAUGAACGCUAGCUACAGGCUUAACACAUGCAAGUCGAGGGGAAACGAUAGAGAAAGCUUGCUUUUUCUAGGCGUCGACCGGCGCACGGGUGAGUAACGCGUAUCCAACCUGCCCAUCACUUGGGGAUAACCUUGCGAAAGUAAGACUAAUACCCAAUGAUAUCUCUAGAAGACAUCUGAAAGGGAUUAAAGAUUUAUCGGUGAUGGAUGGGAUGCGUCUGAUUAGCUUGUUGGCGGGGUAACGGCCCACCAAGGCGAUGAUCAGUAGGGGUUCUGAGAGGAAGGUCCCCCACAUUGGAACUGAGACACGGUCCAAACUCCUACGGGAGGCAGCAGUGAGGAAUAUUGGUCAAUGGGCGAGAGCCUGAACCAGCCAAGUAGCGUGCAGGAUGACGGCCCUAUGGGCUGUAAACUGCUUUUAUAAGGGAAUAAAGUGAGUCUCGUGAGACUUUUUGCAUGUACCUUAUGAAUAAGGACCGGCUAAUUCCGUGCCAGCAGCCGCAGUAA
This 507-nucleotide ribosomal RNA is filed under the name uncultured bacterium. RNAcentral's name for it is "partial 16S ribosomal RNA". It matches the Rfam family "Bacterial small subunit ribosomal RNA", at positions 28 to 523 of the family's 1533-position model. The record is from RNAcentral.